RNAcentral lists this ribosomal RNA (775 nucleotides) under uncultured Neocallimastigales. RNAcentral's name for it is "partial large subunit ribosomal RNA". It matches the Rfam family "Eukaryotic large subunit ribosomal RNA", at positions 23 to 634 of the family's 3401-position model. Lineage: Eukaryota; Fungi; Neocallimastigomycota; Neocallimastigomycetes; Neocallimastigales. The record is from RNAcentral.
GAGACUCUGUGCGCGUGCAUAUCAAUAAGCGGAGGAAAAGAAACUAACAAGGAUUCCCUUAGUAACGGCGAGUGAAACGGGAAGAGCUCAAAUUUGAAAUCUUCAAGGUUCUACCUUGACGAAUUGUAGUUUAUAGAAGUGUUUUCUGUUAGUAGAGUGGCAAAAGUUCUUUGGAAUAGGACAUCAUAGAGGGUGAGAAUCCCGUAUUUGACCGUUACUUUCCAGCUUUGUGAUACACUUUCAAAGAGUCGGAUUGUUUGGGAAUGCAGUCCAAAAUGGGUGGUAAAUUUCAUCUAAAGCUAAAUAUUGGCGAGAGACCGAUCGCGAACAAGUACCGUGAGGGAAAGAUGAAAAGAACUUUGAAAAGAGAGUUAAACAGUACGUGAAAUUGUCAAAAGGGAAGCGUUUGACACCAGUGUUGUUUUUCCGAAAAUCAAUUACGAAUGUUUUGUUUUUGAGGAGUUAUGACUUCAUCGGCUUGCUCCUUUCUUUACGAAACUUUCUUAAUGCACUUUUCGGUUAACAAGUCAACAUCAAUUUCUUUUGUUGUAAAAGGGUAUGAGGAAGGUGGCUUUCUUUUCGGAGAAAGUGUUUAUAGCCUUGUGCCUCUACAAUCGGAGAGAUUGAGGUCUGCAGCGUAGAUCCUUCGGGGUUAGAUACGUUUGUGCUAAGUUAUAGCUUUUCAUAGACAACUUGUUGACUAUGUUUAGUCUUGUAGCUUACUCGCUGACGCUAUUUUACCUACGCUUAGGAUGUUGAACUCUAUCACACACAG